This 445-nucleotide ribosomal RNA is filed under the name uncultured organism. RNAcentral's name for it is "partial 16S ribosomal RNA". It matches the Rfam family "Bacterial small subunit ribosomal RNA", at positions 335 to 797 of the family's 1533-position model. The record is from RNAcentral.
ACUCCUACGGGAGGCAGCAGUGGGGAAUAUUGGACAAUGGGCGCAAGCCUGAUCCAGCCAUGCCGCGUGAGUGAUGAAGGCCCUAGGGUUGUAAAGCUCUUUCACCGGUGAAGAUAAUGACGGUAACCGGAGAAGAAGCCCCGGCUAACUUCGUGCCAGCAGCCGCGGUAAUACGAAGGGGGCUAGCGUUGUUCGGAUUUACUGGGCGUAAAGCGCACGUAGGCGGACUAUUAAGUCAGGGGUGAAAUCCCGGGGCUCAACCCCGGAACUGCCUUUGAUACUGGUAGUCUUGAGUUCGAGAGAGGUGAGUGGAAUUCCGAGUGUAGAGGUGAAAUUCGUAGAUAUUCGGAGGAACACCAGUGGCGAAGGCGGCUCACUGGCUCGAUACUGACGCUGAGGUGCGAAAGCGUGGGGAGCAAACAGGAUUAGAUACCCCAGUAGUCCC